CUCCAGCAGCCUGAAAAAUAUUAAUUUCCUGAGACUUGAGAUGUAUUCAAAGGUACCACUGGCUGGAG
This 68-nucleotide small nucleolar RNA is filed under the name Sorex araneus (European shrew). RNAcentral's name for it is "Small nucleolar RNA SNORD42 (ENSSARG00000015817.1)". The stretch from base 7 to 65 matches the Rfam family "Small nucleolar RNA SNORD42". From Rfam's summary of the family: snoRNA U42 is found in intron 3 of the ribosomal protein L23a (RPL23a) gene in humans and is also present in mice. U42 is a member of the C/D class of snoRNA which contain C (UGAUGA) and D (CUGA) box motifs. The record is from RNAcentral. Lineage: Eukaryota; Metazoa; Chordata; Mammalia; Eulipotyphla; Soricidae.